UACGUAGGGUGCAGGCGUUAAUCGGAGUUACUGGGCGUAAAGCGUGCGCAGGCGGUUUGUUAAGACAGAUGUGAAAUCCCCGGGCUUAACCUGGGAACUGCGUUUGUAACUGGCAAGCUAGAGUGUGGCAGAGGGGGGUGGAAUUCCAAGUGUAGCAGUGAAAUGCGUAGAUAUUUGGAGGAACACCAAUGGCGAAGGCAGCCCCCUGGGUUAACACUGACGCUCAUGCACGAAAGCGUGGGGAGCAAACAGG
This 253-nucleotide ribosomal RNA is filed under the name uncultured bacterium. RNAcentral's name for it is "partial 16S ribosomal RNA". It matches the Rfam family "Bacterial small subunit ribosomal RNA", at positions 524 to 776 of the family's 1533-position model. The record is from RNAcentral.